UACAAAGUGAGGUCUGGUGCAGGACUGUUGUUUGUGUAUCUAUUGUUAUUCUGCACAUUUUUAAGCUUUUAUUGUUUCCUCGGGGUAUUUUACGUGUCCCAGCCUGGAGAUAGAAGAUGUUUUUAUUCAGGCAGACAGAUGAGGCCUUGAGUUCAGCGAUGGAGAUGUUCCUGUUAUCCCCACACAGAGACUGCAUGUGUGGACAAAGUUAGACAGCUGAAUUACAGCCAGCAUUACUUCUCAAACUGUAAGUAAUGAUUGUGCCCUACUUUAAGCGAACAUGCUAUUUUUGAAUGAUUAUGCAGUUUAUGCUUGGAGUGGCUUUAAUAACUGAUAUUCUUACACUGAUAUUUUCCUUUUUUAGUUUUGCCUUAUAAAGACUUUGACGUUUUCCUGAGGUUCUGGCUGUAAAUAUCUCCAUCAUUUGUAGGUUGAGCUGAUGGUUGAAUGUGAUGCUAACUGUGUUCUGGUCCCACAGGUUUGAGGAUCAACAAGCAGCCAUAGAAAUAAUGUCCAGGAGAUGCAGAGGCCUGCAGAAGCCGCUCACUUUGACAUCUCAGUUAAGCUGAGAACAGAAAUCAGGAGCUGCAGAGAGAACAGGCUCAGCAGAGCCGGACAGCUGAAGCUUUCUGUUUCUGCUCAGAGCGCAGAGGACGGACACAGGAUUAACUGACCCAACCACAGCCAUGCAGAUUCUCACUGCUGAACUUUAGUGAACAUCGUGGUGGUGGCAGCAUCAUGCUGUGGGAGGAUGGAUGGAGCUAAAUCCAGGACAAUAAUGGAGGGACAACCAGCCUGAACAUCCAGCCAGAGAUAUUAUGGGAUGGCUUAGAUCCAAUCAGAUUCAUGUGUUAGAGUGGCCUAGUCAAAGUCCAGACCGUAAUCCAGGUGAGAAUCUGAAGCAGGACUAGAAUGUUGCUCUGCACCCAUUUUCUGAUAAAUAAAUCCGCAGAGACUUUGUAAACUGGAUUCCUUACGUUGAGUCGACACGUCGCUUUCUUACAAAAACAAAUUUAAAAUAUUCCUGAUCUGGUAAAAGACAGAAUCAUUUUGUGCCUUUUGAAGGAAAGAGAUUAAUUUGAUAUAAUUUGGAAUAAUGUUGUAGCAUAAGAAAAGGUACAAAAAAAAGUGAAACGUGUCAUUUCUUUCAGAUGCUCUGCACUUUACCGCAAGUAAAUUAUUUCAGAUUUGAACAUAUAAAUAAAUUUCCAGUGUGUUUCAGUAACACGAGGUCAGUGUUUGGUUCUGACCCGGGUCAGCAGAACAAACAGAACUCCACAGGAAGAAGGAGGCUUUUUUUUUUUUUUUUUUUAGUUUCCAGGGUGACAAGAACCUCAGCUCAAAAUAAAUCACACUGAAUUUCCAACUGUGGAUAAUAAAAUAUAUUUUCUGCUGAUAUUUGAACUGAUUGUGCUGAAAACAAGCCGACCCCACCUGUGCUGCAGAGAUAAGAGAAUUAUAAUCCACGCAGGUAUCAGUCUGCGUGGAUUAUUUAUUAUCUCCUCUGUGAAAGGAAACAACUUUGGAGAAGAAUAAUACAAUUUCAUCUGGCUGUUGCAUCUCUUUCCUGUGUAGAUCCUAGCAGGACUUCAAGAGCUUCUUAUUUAGUCUGGGAGAUGAAGUUAUUUUCUCUGGCUAUUGUGUGAAGGGCCACCUGAGUUCAGAAAGAGCGGAACGGCUCAGUCACAACUCUUCACAAGGAAAGAUCAAAGCUACACCUCUGGGCUUUGUAAUAUAUUGAGUUAAGUUCCAGCGCCGGUGAUGCAUCUCUCUUCCUUUGCUCUUUCUGCUUUUGGCAAAAGAGCAAAUUAAACCUGACUUGUGUCAUCAUACGCAGUCCGUCUUCAUUUGCGCAUGCAUCAGCGCUUGUUGGUGUGGGAAACAGCGGCACGCAGCGAGCCGACCCCUGAACCGGCCCCUGAACGGCCCCUGAACCAGCCCCUGAACCGGCCCCUGAACCGGCCCGUAGUUUAAAGCAACCAGGAAACAUCACAUGAUUUAUAGAACCGGUAAGAGGAAAAAAACAUCUUACCAAGUAUUUCUGUCUGGUUUCUAGUGCAGACGUCCAUUUGAAAUGAGACAAAACUAACUUCCAAUAAACUUUUCAGUAAGAAAAAUUCUUUAAUAUUGAUUUCAAAAAAGGUUCUA
This is a non-coding RNA of Poecilia reticulata (guppy), 2148 nucleotides long. The record is from RefSeq and is a predicted model, not a curated record. NCBI's taxonomy places the organism in Eukaryota, Metazoa, Chordata, Actinopteri, Cyprinodontiformes, Poeciliidae.